GCCCAUAUAGCUCAGCUCGGUAGAGCGCAUCCUUGGUAAGGAUGAGGUCACCGGUUCAAAUCCGGUUAUGGGCUCCA
Molecule: transfer RNA, 77 nt
Filed under: Leucothrix arctica
Lineage: Bacteria; Pseudomonadati; Pseudomonadota; Gammaproteobacteria; Thiotrichales; Thiotrichaceae
Also listed under: 1 other name
Description: Leucothrix sp. IMCC9719 tRNA-Thr
Rfam family: tRNA
About the family: Transfer RNA (tRNA) molecules are approximately 80 nucleotides in length.
Source: RNAcentral